Molecule: ribosomal RNA, 253 nt
Filed under: uncultured bacterium
Lineage: Bacteria
Description: partial 16S ribosomal RNA
Rfam family: Bacterial small subunit ribosomal RNA
Source: RNAcentral
UACGUAGGGUCCGAGCGUUGUCCGGAAUUAUUGGGCGUAAAGGGCUCGUAGGCGGUUUGUCGCGUCGGGAGUGAAAACUCAGGGCUCAACCCUGAGCGUGCUUCCGAUACGGGCAGACUAGAGGUAUGCAGGGGAGAACGGAAUUCCUGGUGUAGCGGUGAAAUGCGCAGAUAUCAGGAGGAACACCGGUGGCGAAGGCGGUUCUCUGGGCAUUACCUGACGCUGAGGAGCGAAAGUGUGGGGAGCGAACAGG